GAUGAACGCUGGCGGCGCGCUUAACACAUGCAAGUCGAACGAUGAAGCCCAGCUUGCUGGGUGGAUUAGUGGCGAACGGGUGAGUAACACGUGAGUAACCUGCCCUUAACUCUGGGAUAAGCCUGGGAAACUGGGUCUAAUACCGGAUAGGAGCGUCCACCGCAUGGUGGGUGUUGGAAAGAUUUAUCGGUUUUGGAUGGACUCGCGGCCUAUCAGCUUGUUGGUGAGGUAAUGGCUCAACAAGGCGACGACGGGUAGCCGGCCUGAGACGGUGACCGGCCACACUGGGACUGGGACACGGCCCAGACUCCUACGGGAGGCAGCAGUGGGGAAUAUUGCACAAGGGGCGAAAGCCUGAUGCAGAGACGCCGCGUGAGGGAUGACAGCCUUCGGGUUGUAAACCUCUUUCAGUAGGGAAGAAGCGAAAGUGACGGUACCUGCAGAAGAAGCACCGGCUAACUACGUGCCAGCAGCCGCGGUAA
RNAcentral lists this ribosomal RNA (482 nucleotides) under uncultured bacterium. RNAcentral's name for it is "partial 16S ribosomal RNA". It matches the Rfam family "Bacterial small subunit ribosomal RNA", at positions 28 to 523 of the family's 1533-position model. The record is from RNAcentral.